This 504-nucleotide ribosomal RNA is filed under the name uncultured bacterium. Its description in RNAcentral is "partial 16S ribosomal RNA". It matches the Rfam family "Bacterial small subunit ribosomal RNA", at positions 29 to 523 of the family's 1533-position model. The record is from RNAcentral.
AUUGAACGCUGGCGGCACGCCUAACACAUGCAAGUCGAGCGGUAGCAGGAUCAGUAGCAAUACUGAUUGCUGACGAGCGGCGGACGGGUGAGUAAUACGUAGGAAUCUACCCUUGAGCGGGGGAUAACCAAGGGAAACUUUGGCUAAUACCGCAUAAACUCGAGAGAGAAAAGCUACCCGAAAGGGCGGCACUUGAGGAGGAGCCUGCGUCCGAUUAGCUAGUUGGUGGGGUAAGAGCUCACCAAGGCGAUGAUCGGUAACUGGUCUGAGAGGACGACCUGUCACACUGGGACUGAGACACGGCCCAGACUCCUACGGGAGGCAGCAGUGGGGAAUAUUGGACAAUGGGGGCAACCCUGAUCCAGCGAUGCCGCGUGAGUGAAGAAGGCCCUCGGGUCGUAAAGCUCUUUAGGUUGGGAAGAAGUCUAUUAGGUUAAGAGCUAGGUAGAUUGACGGUACCGACAGAAUAAGCACCGGCAAACUCUGUGCCAGCAGCCGCCGUAA